CUCCACAGGGGAUUCCAACCAGGAUUCCUGAGGAUUCCAGGGAGGAUUUUCAAGGAUCCAGUGAGGGAUUCCAGCUGGGAUUCUGAGGGAUUCCAAGGAAGGAUUCCUGAGAAUUCCAGAGGGUUUCAGGAGGGAUUCCCAAGGAUCCUGGGUGGGAAUUCCAGCUGGGAUUCCGAUGACUCCAGGAAAGAGAUUCCAAAGGAUCCGAGGAAGGAUUAAA
RNAcentral lists this long non-coding RNA (220 nucleotides) under Zonotrichia albicollis (white-throated sparrow). Its description in RNAcentral is "lncRNA (ENSZALG00000004506.1)". Lineage: Eukaryota; Metazoa; Chordata; Aves; Passeriformes; Passerellidae. The record is from RNAcentral.